GUAUUACAUUUUCAAAUUAUUCGUAGGAUAAUGAAGAUGAAAUUAAGGUCUACUGCAUUUUCUCAUCUAUGAGAUUCUGUCGUGCAAAACAUAAUCAUUAUGAUGAAAUAGCAAAAUGCAGAAAAGAUUAUCUACGUAAAAAAUGUAGAUCCGAAUGA
Molecule: long non-coding RNA, 158 nt
Organism: Ceratosolen solmsi marchali
Lineage: Eukaryota; Metazoa; Arthropoda; Insecta; Hymenoptera; Agaonidae
Exons: 2
Source: RefSeq, a predicted model, not a curated record